RNAcentral lists this ribosomal RNA (497 nucleotides) under uncultured bacterium. RNAcentral describes it as "partial 16S ribosomal RNA". It matches the Rfam family "Bacterial small subunit ribosomal RNA", at positions 28 to 507 of the family's 1533-position model. The record is from RNAcentral.
GAUGAACGCUGGCGGCGUGCCUAAUACAUGCAAGUCGAGCGAACAGAUAAGGAGCUUGCUCCUUUGACGUUAGCGGCGGACGGGUGAGUAACACGUGGGUAACCUACCUAUAAGACUGGGAUAACUUCGGGAAACCGGAGCUAAUACCGGAUAACAUUUGGAACCGCAUGGUUCUAAAGUGAAAGAUGGUUUUGCUAUCACUUAUAGAUGGACCCGCGCCGUAUUAGCUAGUUGGUAAGGUAACGGCUUACCAAGGCGACGAUACGUAGCCGACCUGAGAGGGUGAUCGGCCACACUGGAACUGAGACACGGUCCAGACUCCUACGGGAGGCAGCAGUAGGGAAUCUUCCGCAAUGGGCGAAAGCCUGACGGAGCAACGCCGCGUGAGUGAUGAAGGGUUUCGGAUCGUAAAACUCUGUUAUUAGGGAAGAACAAAUGUGUAAGUAACUGUGCACGUCCUGACGGUACCUAAUCAGAAAGCCACGGCUAACUACGUG